This 477-nucleotide ribosomal RNA is filed under the name uncultured bacterium. RNAcentral describes it as "partial 16S ribosomal RNA". It matches the Rfam family "Bacterial small subunit ribosomal RNA", at positions 28 to 507 of the family's 1533-position model. The record is from RNAcentral.
GAUGAACGCUGGCGGCGUGCCUAACACACGCAAGUCGAACGAAGCACCUUACCUGAUUCUUCGGAUGAAAGUUUGGUGACUGAGUGGCGGACGGGUGAGUAACGCGUGGGUAACCUGCCCUGUACAGGGGGAUAACAGCUGGAAACGGCUGCUAAUACCGCAUAAGCGCACGAGGAGACAUCUCCUUGUGUGAAAAACUCCGGUGGUACAGGAUGGGCCCGCGUCUGAUUAGCUGGUUGGCAGGGUAACGGCCUACCAAGGCAACGAUCAGUAGCCGGUCUGAGAGGAUGAACGGCCACAUUGGAACUGAGACACGGUCCAAACUCCUACGGGAAGCAGCAGUGGGGAAUAUUGCACAAUGGGGGAAACCCUGAUGCAGCAACGCCGCGUGAGUGAAGAAGUAUUUCGGUAUGUAAAGCUCUAUCAGCAGGGAAGAUAAUGACGGUACCUGACUAAGAAGCUCCGGCUAAAUACGUG